RNAcentral lists this long non-coding RNA (2931 nucleotides) under Capra hircus (goat). Its description in RNAcentral is "lncRNA (ENSCHIG00000005376.1)". Lineage: Eukaryota; Metazoa; Chordata; Mammalia; Artiodactyla; Bovidae. The record is from RNAcentral.
ACAUUUAGGCUUGACCUUGUACUCUCUGCACUAGGACAUGGAGACCUGGGUAGAGACCUGGCCUGGCCUCUGUCCUGGAAAACUCCGUGCCUGCGUCUGAACGUCAGCACUCAGAUGUCUAGGGUCUGGGGCUGAGGUGGGCUUCUCUGGGGAACCGUGCUCUUCUCUGAGUAGGAUUCCAUGGCUCUCCCGGGAGAGGGGGAGGUCAGUGCUGCGGUAGGGUUUGUAGUCUGUCUCUGUGACAGGUUCAUCUUCCCUGGGGUCCUUGAGACUCCUCAGGUGGGCUGCUAAGUCACUUUAGUCGUGUCCGACUCUGUGCGACCCCAUAGACGGCAGCCUAACAGGCUCCCCCGUCCCUGGGAUUCUCCAGGCAAGAACACUGGAGUGGGUUGCCAUUUCCUUCUCCAAUGCAUGAAAGUGAAAAGUGAAAGUGAUAUUGCUCAGUCGUGACCCCAUAGACUGCAGCCCACCAGGCUCCUCUACCCAUGGGAUUUUCCAGGCAAGAGUACUAGAGUGGGGUGCCAUUGCCUUCUCCGCCUCAGGUGGGCUAACUAGUAUUUAUUCCAAUUUUUCAGCACAUUCAGGUUUAAUAGAAAGGCAGGUUCACCUGGUGAAUUGGUUCCAGGGUGCAGGGAUCAGGCAAAAAGUCAACGGGCAGCAGGUGAGGUUGCUGCUGGGCUCUCCUUCCAGUCGACUCUCUCCUCCAAAGAGGAUGGAGUUGCCCCUCGUUUCUCAGCCCAGCUCUCCUGUUUUCUCAGCACCUCAGCGGGACAAAAAAGACAGAGCCUGCCAGAACCAAGUGGACCGUCCCUACUCAGCAGAGACCAGACCUGCCCGUCGUCUCCCAGCCCUGCGUCUGGUGUGUUUUCUCAACACCUCAGUGGAACAAGAAAGGACCAAGCCUGCCAGAACCAAGGCCUUGGUGACCUGGGCUGCUGUCAUAGCCCUGAAGCCUGGGCAGGCUGGUUUCCCAAGGAUGGACUGUCAUGGGGCUGACAGAGCUGGGGAGGAUGUGCCAGCCAAUGAGCCCUGCCCCGUGGACCUGACCAGCCUCUUCCCCUCUGCAUCAGCCCACAACCUCCAGAUCCAGGAGGACCAUCCUGCAGUGAAACUACGCCUACUGCACCCAAAGGACGUGGAGCCUCUGGGCUGGAAGAGCUCUGAUAAGACCCAUGGGCUCCAUGUCUCCUGUUGGUGGGGUUCCCACCUCCAGCCUCCUUCCUUAGGAUCACCCCACCUAUGGAUGAAAGCACCUUCCCCAGAGGGGUGGUGCAAGAACUGGGAUGUGUCCAGGGGAUGGGGUAAGAAAGGAAGGGAUGGGAUACAAGCCUUGGGUGUUUCUUCUGGCACAUUCCUGACAGUCCAGGAACAGGACUUUCCCCAAGGUUCUGAUUCCCCCAGGAACCAGAGUUGGUUAUAAAGAUAUGCUCCCAUCCUGUGGCUAUUUUGCAUAGCAACAGCUUUAAAACCAAAGCUCAAGAGCACUUAAUAUUCAUAAGGCCUGAGGGGCUGUAAGUAAAAAAAUCACCUGCUCUAAAGAAAUAUUCUAGGCAAGUCAUCGGAAAAUGGAAAACUAUUAAAUAUAGGUCAGGGUUCAAGAAGUCAACUUCAAUAAGUAAGUUUAACUCACAUUGUUUAAAAAAAUCACAUGGAAAGAUGUCAGCAUCAUUAAUAUGAGAAAAAUGCAAAUCAAAACUUCAAUGAUGUAUCACCUCACACAGGUGAGAGUGGCCAUAGGCAGAAACUCUACAAACAAUAAAUGCUGGAGAGGGUGUAGAGCCAAGGGAACCCUCUCACACUGAUUCUGGGAAUGGAAAUUGGGAGUGGCCACUGUGGAGGACACGGGCCAGGUUCCUUAGCAUGAAGGUGAGAAUGAAAUUAAAUGACUCCCUAACACCAUACACAAAAAUGAACGGCAAAUAGAUUUAAAAGGUCUAAAUAAAAGGACAGAUACAAUGGAACUCCUCAGGAAAAAAAGCAGAAUGCAGUUUUGACAUGAAGUGCAGCAAGUUCUGUUUUGAUUCACCACUUAGAAUCAGGACAAAUAAAAAUAAACAAAUGGGACCUAACAGACCUUAAAAACAUUUGCAUAGCUAAGGAAACCAGGGAAUUUAUCUCCACACAAACUCAUAAAGCUCAAUAUAAAAAAUCAAUCCAAUAAAACAUUUCUAAAAAUCUAAAUACACAUUUCUCCAGAAAAGGCAGAGAGAUGGCCAUAAACUACGAGAAAAGAUUGUCAGCAUAAGUUCUUCAGUUCAGUCACUCAGUCAAGUCCAACUCUUUGUGACCCCACGGACUGCAGCACACCAGGCUUCUCUGUCCAUUACCAACUCCCAGAGCUUACUCAAACUCAUGUCCAUUGAGUCGGUGAUGCCAUCCAGCCAUUUCAUCCUGUUAGGUAGGUAGAACAGGGAAAAGGAGUCCAAAAGGGCGGUGGCUACAACACAGAAAGGGAAAAGCCCUCGAAAAUGAAACAAAAGGUCCGAGGACCGAAGUGAGGCCCUCAGGUAAAACAACACUCCAGGCUGGCCCAGUUUACAUGGGACAGGCCCAGGGACAGAUGAACAUAUAAAUAGAGGAGCCAGAGCCAGCUCUCUCUCUCUCUCUCUCUCCCAUGCCCUAGGGCGCUCUUCUCCUGGUCUCUUUAGAUCUCUUUUGCCCUCACACCUCAAAGAUGGAUUUUCCUGCUAUCUUCUAAAUAAAAUAGAGCUGUAACACUGAGCUGUAACGCUGAUUUGUCUAAGAGCUGUAACACGGUCCAUUCGAGACCUGAGAGCUAUAACACGGUCUAUCCAAGACCUGAGAGCUGCGACACGCCGAGGGGGCUUUAAUGUCCGUCACUGCAAAUCUUUGUUGUGACGAGACAAAGAACCGAGGAACAUACACUCGCGUGACAUAUACAGUGGGCUAUUACUCGGACUUGAAAAAACC